This 30-nucleotide non-coding RNA is filed under the name Mus musculus (house mouse). The record is from RNAcentral. Lineage: Eukaryota; Metazoa; Chordata; Mammalia; Rodentia; Muridae.
UACUCAAAGUGUUGAUGAGACUAGAUUUUU